RNAcentral lists this transfer RNA (72 nucleotides) under Bacteroidetes bacterium QS_9_68_14. Its description in RNAcentral is "tRNA-Gly". It matches the Rfam family "tRNA". Rfam says of the family: Transfer RNA (tRNA) molecules are approximately 80 nucleotides in length. Their secondary structure includes four short double-helical elements and three loops (D, anti-codon, and T loops). Further hydrogen bonds mediate the characteristic L-shaped molecular structure. tRNAs have two regions of fundamental functional importance: the anti-codon, which is responsible for specific mRNA codon recognition, and the 3' end, to which the tRNAs corresponding amino acid is attached (by aminoacyl-tRNA synthetases). tRNAs cope with the degeneracy of the genetic code in two manners: having more than one tRNA (with a specific anti-codon) for a particular amino acid; and 'wobble' base-pairing, i.e. permitting non-standard base-pairing at the 3rd anti-codon position. Lineage: Bacteria; Pseudomonadati; Bacteroidota. The record is from RNAcentral.
GCGGGUGUAGCUCAGUGGGAGAGCAUCUCCUUGCCAUGGAGAAGGUCGAGGGUUCGAAUCCCUUCCCCCGCU